This is a non-coding RNA of Oncorhynchus mykiss (rainbow trout), 1963 nucleotides long. Lineage: Eukaryota; Metazoa; Chordata; Actinopteri; Salmoniformes; Salmonidae. The record is from RefSeq and is a predicted model, not a curated record.
AUUGGAAGCUAUUUUGUAGAUGACAUCGCCGAAGUUGAGGAUCGGUAGGAUAUUCCGUUUUACUAGGGUAAGUUUGGCAGGCGAGUGAUGGAGGCUUUGUUGCGAAAUAGAAAGCCGAUUUUAGAUCUGAUUUUGGAUUGUGUGUGUCUCCAAAUCCGUAUAAGUGCAUGGUGUGGAGCAGCUAGCUGUAGGAGGGAGGAUGGUCUACUCUACCUGUUCACUCAACACUGUAGAGGACGAAGCUGUCAUAGCAACAGUACUGGAGAAGAGUAACACACACACACACACGCAUGCAUGCACAAAUCCAGUGUCUCAGACACACCCACACCGGUGAUAACUGCCUCAGCUCCUUUGUCUUUCUCCAGGUGCGUUAGAGUUGGCAGAUGAGUCCGCUGAUCUCCCAGGGUUAAAAUGGAUGUCUGGAGUCACCAAAUGGAAGGUGUAUAACUGUUGGACCACAUGAGCUCCACCUCAUGCCUAACAGUCACUGCUAGCAGCUACUAGAGUUGAUGACUAAGGAGGGUCAGUGGUAUAAGGACUGGUCAGAGGUGCCAGCCGACCACCACACACAGAUCAGACCCACCAUGUUCCCUCCCCCCUGGAGGAGGGGCGGCAGGGUAGCCUAGUGGUUAGAGCGUUGGACUAGGUUGCAAGUUCAAAUCCCCGAGCUGACAAGUAUGAGGAUCCUGCCCCAUCACCAGAACACUGGAGGCUUCUUUGUAGCUGUCCUGGUCAAGAAAGCCCCCAUGCCCUGGAGCAGAACAAUCCCCAAGUUGAGGAAGGAGCAGACAUCCAGCUCAGUGCCCCAGCCAGAGGACUCUCCAGUGGACACCCCCCUCCUUGAGAGACCCCUGGAGGAUGGAGACGGAGGAGAAGAGGCAGGAGAGGACUCGCCCAAAGAGCUAGUCGAUCAGACCAAGGAACCCAACGUGUGUGGGUGAUCAACACAGAGGUGUAUGUGUGGUCUCUCAACAGCGACAAGGAGGGGUUUGGCUGUGUCUUCAGACUUGCCCAGGAGGGUAUCUACUCUGUUCCCCUACAUCCGCUCCAGGAUGAUCAUAAUCAGUGUUGAGGACAUCAAGAUUCUACUGACUCAGGAGAACCCGUACCUCAACAAAUUGGAGGAUGAUGCUCACCAACAGGCCAAGAAGAUUGAAAUGGGCAGCAUUGUUCUAAAGUAUCGGCCUGAUAGUAGUGUCCUAUAGAGCUGUGUGGCUAGAGAGCCAAGACCUCCAUCAGAGCUUUUGUACCCCGCAACGAGAGGUUCCACUACCUCCGCAUGCUGGGGGUCGAGGUAUUCCGGAACAAACAGGGACCGGGACCCAGGGAGAAGAGGAGGAGGUGGAGACGGAGAACAGGAACAAAAAUGGCAGCAUAAAAGAGGAGUUGAAAGUAGAGGUGACGAGCACCUGACAGGGGAGGGGAGAUAUUUACCAGCACCUGAGGGGAGGAGUAGAAAGACAUUUGUAUCUCAUUAGUCUUAACAAGUUUCUCUCUCUUUGUCUCCACCAUAUUGCUUUCACCCUUCUGUUUUUAUAUCAGUGGAGAUGUAGGUGAGGCGUUGAACCUCUUUAGACUAUUGCGACACAGGGAGUAAGGGAAAGGGAGGAGGAGGUGCUGUAUGAGCUGGAGCUAUGCUGGCCAGACUAGGGCUAGACCAAAUGUGAGGGAGAAGAGAUGAGUUGGGUAGCUCAGUAGAACUUCUAAUCCACUGCCAUAGCAGAAAGGCCACCCCUUGACCGAGCACCUAGUCUUCCAUGCUCCCCCAGACUUGGUACACUCCAGGGGUCGACGCUUUAGAAACUUAUUUUAGUUUCUACUGCUGAUUUGUUUUAACAGGGAACUCCACUGGCAGACAACUUUUUAAAAUUAUUAUUAUUGUGCAUGUUUGAAUGUUUAUCAACGGCUAUUUCAUUUUCUAUCAUUGUAAGGAAGAUGGAAUUGAUUAAAGAUAUUACAUUCA